This 462-nucleotide ribosomal RNA is filed under the name uncultured bacterium. RNAcentral's name for it is "bacterial SSU rRNA". It matches the Rfam family "Bacterial small subunit ribosomal RNA", at positions 330 to 792 of the family's 1533-position model. The record is from RNAcentral.
UCCAGACUCCUACGGGAGGCAGCAGUGGGGAAUAUUGCACAAUGGGGGAAACCCUGAUGCAGCGACGCCGCGUGAGUGAAGAAGUAUUUCGGUACGUAAAGCUCUAUCAGCAGGGAAGAAAGAAAGUCCUUUGGACUUUGGACGGUACCUGACCAAGAAGCCCCGGCUCACUACGUGCCAGCAGCCGCGGUAAUACGUAGGGGGCAAGCGUUAUCCGGAUUUACUGGGUGUAAAGGGAGCGUAGACGGCUGUGCAAGUCUGGAGUGAAGGGCGGGGGCCCAACCCCCGGACUGCUCUGGAAACUGUAUGGCUGGAGUGCAGGAGAGGUAAGCGGAAUUCCUAGUGUAGCGGUGAAAUGCGUAGAUAUUAGGAGGAACACCAGUGGCGAAGGCGGCUUACUGGACUGUAACUGACGUUGAGGCUCGAAAGCGUGGGGAGCAAACAGGAUUAGAUACCCUAGUA